GGAAGAUGCGAGCGUUAUCCGGAUUUAUUGGGUUUAAAGGGUGCGUAGGCGGGAUGCCAAGUCAGCGGUGAAAACUCCGGGCUCAACCCGGACCCCGCCGUUGAAACUGGUAACCUAGAGAGUAUUGGAAGUAAGCGGAAUGCGUGGUGUAGCGGUGAAAUGCAUAGAUAUCACGCAGAACCCCGAUUGCGAAGGCAGCUUACUACACUACCGCUGACGCUGAAGCACGAAAGCGUGGGUAUCAAA
This 246-nucleotide ribosomal RNA is filed under the name uncultured bacterium. Its description in RNAcentral is "partial 16S ribosomal RNA". It matches the Rfam family "Bacterial small subunit ribosomal RNA", at positions 527 to 772 of the family's 1533-position model. The record is from RNAcentral.